AUUGAACGCUGGCGGCAUGCUUUACACAUGCAAGUCGAACGGUAACAGGCCUUCGGGUGCUGACGAGUGGCGCACGGGUGAGUAAUGCAUCGGAACGUGCCCAGAGGUGGGGGGUAUCGCAGCGAAAGCUGGGCUAAUAUCCCACGUGAUCUGUGGGUGAAAACGGGGGACCAGGUCGCAAUGUUUGGCCUCGCGCCUUUGUAGCGGCCGAUGUCAGAUUAGCUAGGUGGUGGGGUAAAGGCCUACCAAGCCGACGAUCAGUAGCUGGUCUGAGAGGACGAGCAGGCACACUGGAACUGAGACACGGGCCAGACUCCUACGGGAGGCAGCAGUGGGGAAUAGUGGACAAUGGGCGAAAGCCUGAUCCAGCCAUGCCGCGUGUGUGAAGAAGGUCUUCGGAUUGUAAAGCACUUUAAGUUGGGAGGAAGGGCAGUAAGUUAAUACCUUGCUGUUUUGACGUUACCAACAGAAUAAGCACCGGCUAACUUCGUG
This 492-nucleotide ribosomal RNA is filed under the name uncultured bacterium. Its description in RNAcentral is "partial 16S ribosomal RNA". It matches the Rfam family "Bacterial small subunit ribosomal RNA", at positions 30 to 507 of the family's 1533-position model. The record is from RNAcentral.